This is a small nucleolar RNA of Mastomys coucha (southern multimammate mouse), 132 nucleotides long. RefSeq annotates it as small nucleolar RNA SNORA17. The record is from RefSeq and is a predicted model, not a curated record. The transcript has a single exon. Lineage: Eukaryota; Metazoa; Chordata; Mammalia; Rodentia; Muridae.
AUGGCACCUAGAGGUCUUGCAAGUGUGGCUGCUAUGUCACACGUGCGUCAGUAGGUGGCAGAGAGGAGAGAGGCUACGUCUACACUUAGUGUUCUGACCUGCACAUAUCUGAAAGAUUAGUAUUUUAACACU